GGCAACAGCCCCACUGGAGGCAGUACUUACCAAUGUUGAAUGCACAGCAGCAAGUGCUAGAAGCAGGGCAUGAGUGAGAAUUGUCACACUGCGACGGUGGUUUGAUGGGAGAGGGAGGAGAGGGAGGACUUGGAGGAGGGUUGGGUCCCUUCUUAAUUGGGAAAGAGGCCUCGAUGUUGAUACCACACUUCCCGUCAGUAGAGUCAGAGCCGAAACGCUCCAUACGGAUGUAACCUUU
This 238-nucleotide long non-coding RNA is filed under the name Physcomitrium patens. RNAcentral's name for it is "long non-coding RNA (PPAT_LNC005453)". Lineage: Eukaryota; Viridiplantae; Streptophyta; Bryopsida; Funariales; Funariaceae. The record is from RNAcentral.